CGAGAAGACCCUAUGGAGCUUAAGACACUAAAGCAGCCCAUGUUAAAACACCCCUAGAAGGACUAAAACCUAAUGAACCCUGCCCUGAUGUCUUUGGUUGGGGCGACCAAGG
This 112-nucleotide ribosomal RNA is filed under the name Kathetostoma sp. KP-2015. RNAcentral describes it as "partial 16S ribosomal RNA". The record is from RNAcentral. Lineage: Eukaryota; Metazoa; Chordata; Actinopteri; Uranoscopiformes; Uranoscopidae.